Molecule: long non-coding RNA, 1515 nt
Organism: Brassica napus (rape)
Lineage: Eukaryota; Viridiplantae; Streptophyta; Magnoliopsida; Brassicales; Brassicaceae
Exons: 2
Source: RefSeq, a predicted model, not a curated record
ACGUUCCAGUUGGGCUGUUUUCUUUCUGAAUCAACAUUCAACUUGAUGAUGAAUUUUGUGUCAUUCUAGACACAAGACACUAUACAUACUUGGAAGUUGGAACCAUAUAUAGCAUAUCACUAGACCUAUUGUUAUACUAACAAUCUUGUUACUGCUUAUUUACUUUAAUUCACCAACUUCAACCUCUCUUUUUCUUACUUGAUUUUCGUGUUUUAAAAUCCAAGUUAUGAGGUAGGACUGAAAAGUGCAAAACGAACAUAAUUAGUUAACUGAACCCUAGGAACAACUAUCGAGGGAGGCUAGGAACAUAAGUUUUAUUUUCUCCUAUAUAAUAAUCACACACGGACAUAGAGAAGUGUUCUACGGAGGAAUGACUUGUCUGCCAAAACUUAGUCUACAAAAUUGGGUAGCCGACAAAAAAGAGAGUUAACUGAACCUAGACUAGAGCGAUUGUGACUGGUUACACUUUGAAUCUAUAGAUCUUUUGUGUAAACCUAGAGCGACUAAGACGUUGUGGUUGUAGAUCAACUAAAUAACUAAGAAAUUUAUACAAUGUAAAACAAACAAGCACACGUUUUAGGUAUUUGCAGGGAUCAUAGAAAUCAAGCAACAAUGAAAUGUAUACUUCUAGGAAAGGAAUAAGAAUCUUCUAAAACUCACAAUAUGAAAUCUUGAUAUCUUCUCUAAUGUAUCUUCACCAUUGAUAUUUUUAAAACUCAGAAGUUUUUUAGGUUAAAAACCGAUUUUUUUUUAAAUAUUUUUAAACCCCUACAUUAGAAGUUAAUGAUCUCACAUUGUGAAAAUACAUUACAUUGGUACCUAACUAUGAAAUAUUUUAAAGUUUGCACUAUAAAUAUCAACUAAAAUUUUCUAAAUCUAAUCCCAAUUUUCACACAAAGAUUUUCCACUAAAAUUAUUCAUUUCAUUCGAACUAAUUAAAGAAAAUCAAGAAAUACAUAUAUUUAUCGAGGGGGGGAAAUAGUCAUUUAAAUCAUAAACUUUCAAAUUUGGUUGAAAAACAACAUGAACUUUACCGUGGACCAUUUAAAACAUCACUUUAUCGUGACUAGCAAUUUAAAGCUUCACAUAAUCCUAAUCCUAAAACUUUGUAUCUCUCCCUUUCUUUUCUCUCUUGUUUCGAUCGAAGGCGACUCAGAAGCUCAAGAACACAGGAAGGAGUAACACUUUUCUAUCUGGUUUUAAUUCAAGAAUCACAUAUCAACACGGAGAGUUUGUUUCCAUCAUGGAUAAAGAAGCGACGUCGAAGGAUCGAAGAGUUUCAACUCGAAAAUCAGCUUUACACAAGUUCAGCGUAAAAGGAUUUAUUGUGGACGGGAACAUCAUGGAUGAGAGCUUCUUAGACGGAUGUAAUAUGAGUGAAGCAUCGUAGAUGGUUAUGUUGUAUAUAGUUUUAUCAUGGAUGAUUUGUUUCUCUGAAACCUGGAAAUAUAUCUAUGUAUUCAUGGAUUAAAACUAAUAAAAUUAAUAAAUGUGAACAUCAAAUCUUAAAACUUA